RNAcentral lists this transfer RNA (73 nucleotides) under Patiria miniata (bat star). Its description in RNAcentral is "tRNA-Asn". It matches the Rfam family "tRNA". Rfam says of the family: Transfer RNA (tRNA) molecules are approximately 80 nucleotides in length. The record is from Rfam by way of RNAcentral. Lineage: Eukaryota; Metazoa; Echinodermata; Asteroidea; Valvatida; Asterinidae.
GGCUGGAUAGCUCAGUUGGUAGAGCACCGGAACGUUAAUCCGGAGGUCGCAGGUUCAAACCCCGCUCCAGACA